Molecule: ribosomal RNA, 492 nt
Filed under: uncultured bacterium
Lineage: Bacteria
Description: partial 16S ribosomal RNA
Rfam family: Bacterial small subunit ribosomal RNA
Source: RNAcentral
AGUGAACGCUGGCGGUAGGCCUAACACAUGCAAGUCGAACGGCAGCACAGUAAGAGCUUGCUCUUACGGGUGGCGAGUGGCGGACGGGUAAGGAAUACAUCGGAAUCUACUUUUUCGUGGGGGAUAACGUAGGGAAACUUACGCUAAUACCGCAUACGACCUACGGGUGAAAGCAUGGGAUCUUCGGACCUUGCGCGAUUGAAUGAGCCGAUGUCGGAUUAGCUAGUUGGCGGGGUAAAGGCCCACCAAGGCGACGAUCCGUAGCUGGUCUGAGAGGAUGAUAAGCCACACUGGAACUGAGACACGGUCCAGACUCCUACGGGAGGCCGCAGUGGGGAAUAUUGGACAAUGGGCGCAAGCCUGAUCCAGCCAUACCGCGUGGGUGAAGAAGGCCUUCGGGUUGUAAAGCCCUUUUGUUGGGAAAGAAAAGCAGCAGGUUAAUACCCCGCUGUUCUGACGGUACCCAAAGAAUAAGCACCGGCUAACUUCGUG